UUUUACUCCUAACUUCUCUAAGUGGGCCUUACCAUUCUGUAGACAUAAAGGCCUCCCUUAUAUAGAGACUAUCCCAAAAUAGUAAAAAUCUUCCUGAGGUAAUAAUGGGAUGGAAUGUGGUUGUUAUGGGAAUCUCAAGAAUAAUGUGCUGAUUCCAGAAGGAACCACCAUUUUGAGCCAGAAAUUAUAGAAAGAUUUAUCUUACCUGGCCCUUUGAUAUGAUUUUAGCCCUGGAGCAUCGACCACUUAAAGAUUAAGCCAAGGAAAAUGUGCCAAAAAUCUUGUCACAAAAUUGGGAUGCACCCAAGCCAGACCAGCAGAUGGAAGUUGGCACAGAAUGGCUCUCUACUCACUAAGUAGCUGACUCAGAAGAAAGCUUAACUCGGAUGAAUUUAUUAAAUGUUGAAUAUCCUCCCAAAUAAGAUGGAUGGUAGAUUUAAGUCAGCAGAUACAAUUUAAUUUACUUUAACUUCCCGAUAGUCUUGGAUAAUGUUAAAGCUGUCCACAUUUCUGGAAUUAAAGAGAAAGAUUCCACAGAUGUCCAACAAUAAACUAUAACAUAUAGUGAUUGUCUAGAAGGUCUCAAGAUCUAAGAACAACGAUAGUUGGAGUGGUGAUAUAUUAGAAACAAAUCCUUAUAUCAUGCAGUGUACUUUAACACCAUGCUUCAUAUAGAGCAAAGCUUACUGCUACUACUUCCAUCUGCUGCCUGAGUGUCUAACUACUAGGGCUCUUUAUUAGGAAGAAAGGAAGGAGAAGCCCAAGAGUGUGAACCUCAGAGAUGUUCCCUGCUUCAGUCACUAGAAAAUCUAGAGAAGGAGAAAAAGAAAAAAAAAUCAUAAUCUUGCCCUGCCUUGGAACAUGACAAAAUUAAUGAGGCAUCAAGACCACUUCCUGCUGUAAAGGGUUCACCUAGCAGAUAGUUUAAGACUUUGGGUUUUAUGAUGACUUAGAAGCCUUUCUUCUCUCAAACACUUUGAGUCAGCAUGCAUGAUGCCAUUAUGCACAACACCAAGCGAUAAUUCAUCUUUGUGGAAGACAGAGACAUCUUAUGUAUUAAUUAGAAAGCCUUUCACUGGCUGGUGCACAGGAACAGGAUCCAAAUGCAGCUAGUGAUUUCCAGGAAGAGAAAGCCAGUUACAAGGGACUUCUUACCUGAUCUGUGAUCAGCCAACGACUGAACUUUGCUUUCAUCUGGCACUGAGGAGAAGAAAUAAAAGAGACAAGGAUUAGACCUGCCUGGAAAUCUGACAUUUUAAAACAAUACGUUAAUAUAGAUUUACAACAAAUUAAAUCUUUUACUGGCAAAGAUUUGAGAUUUGUUUUCUUCCAGCCUAUCCUGGGGUGCCUCAAUUUUAUCCACAGACAUUUUAUAGUCAACUAUGAAGAGCUAUGUUUAUUAGGCCUUCAAUGAAUGUAACGCUUAUUAAAAAAAUGUCAUUACUUGUA
This is a long non-coding RNA of Mastomys coucha (southern multimammate mouse), 1449 nucleotides long. RefSeq lists it as uncharacterized. The transcript has 4 exons. Lineage: Eukaryota; Metazoa; Chordata; Mammalia; Rodentia; Muridae. The record is from RefSeq and is a predicted model, not a curated record.